Molecule: ribosomal RNA, 453 nt
Filed under: Streptomyces sp.
Lineage: Bacteria; Bacillati; Actinomycetota; Actinomycetes; Kitasatosporales; Streptomycetaceae
Description: bacterial SSU rRNA
Rfam family: Bacterial small subunit ribosomal RNA
Source: RNAcentral
GUUUGAUCCUGGCUCAGGACGAACGCUGGCGGCGUGCUUAACACAUGCAAGUCGAACGAUGAAGCCUUUCGGGGUGGAUUAGUGGCGAACGGGUGAGUAACACGUGGGCAAUCUGCCCUUCACUCUGGGACAAGCCCUGGAAACGGGGUCUAAUACCGGAUAACACUCUGUCCUGCAUGGGACGGGGUUAAAAGCUCCGGCGGUGAAGGAUGAGCCCGCGGCCUAUCAGCUUGUUGGUGGGGUAAUGGCCUACCAAGGCGACGACGGGUAGCCGGCCUGAGAGGGCGACCGGCCACACUGGGACUGAGACACGGCCCAGACUCCUACGGGAGGCAGCAGUGGGGAAUAUUGCACAAUGGGCGAAAGCCUGAUGCAGCGACGCCGCGUGAGGGAUGACGGCCUUCGGGUUGUAAACCUCUUUCAGCAGGGAAGAAGCGAAAGUGACGGUACCUG